CGAGCGGUAGAGAGAAGCUUGCUUCUCUUGAGAGCGGCGGACGGGUGAGUAAUGCCUAGGAAUCUGCCUGGUAGUGGGGGAUAACGUUCGGAAACGGACGCUAAUACCGCAUACGUCCUACGGGAGAAAGCAGGGGACCUUCGGGCCUUGCGCUAUCAGAUGAGCCUAGGUCGGAUUAGCUAGUUGGUGAGGUAAUGGCUCACCAAGGCGACGAUCCGUAACUGGUCUGAGAGGAUGAUCAGUCACACUGGAACUGAGACACGGUCCAGACUCCUACGGGAGGCAGCAGUGGGGAAUAUUGGACAAUGGGCGAAAGCCUGAUCCAGCCAUGCCGCGUGUGUGAAGAAGGUCUUCGGAUUGUAAAGCACUUUAAGUUGGGAGGAAGGGUUGUAGAUUAAUACUCUGCAAUUUUGACGUUACCGACAGAAUAAGCACCGGCUAACUCUGUGCCAGCAGCCGCGGUAAUACAGAGGGUGCAAGCGUUAAUCGGAAUUACUGGGCGUAAAGCGCGCGUAGGUGGUUUGUUAAGUUGGAUGUGAAAUCCCCGGGCUCAACCUGGGAACUGCAUUCAAAACUGACUGACUAGAGUAUGGUAGAGGGUGGUGGAAUUUCCUGUGUAGCGGUGAAAUGCGUAGAUAUAGGAAGGAACACCAGUGGCGAAGGCGACCACCUGGACUAAUACUGACACUGAGGUGCGAAAGCGUGGGGAGCAAACAGGAUUAGAUACCCUGGUAGUCCACG
RNAcentral lists this ribosomal RNA (741 nucleotides) under Pseudomonas sp. GZYT-4. RNAcentral describes it as "bacterial SSU rRNA". It matches the Rfam family "Bacterial small subunit ribosomal RNA", at positions 63 to 799 of the family's 1533-position model. The record is from RNAcentral. Lineage: Bacteria; Pseudomonadati; Pseudomonadota; Gammaproteobacteria; Pseudomonadales; Pseudomonadaceae.